RNAcentral lists this small nuclear RNA (134 nucleotides) under Pteropus alecto (black flying fox). RNAcentral's name for it is "U11 spliceosomal RNA". It matches the Rfam family "U11 spliceosomal RNA". The record is from Rfam by way of RNAcentral. Lineage: Eukaryota; Metazoa; Chordata; Mammalia; Chiroptera; Pteropodidae.
AAAAAGGGCUUCUGUCGUGAGUGGCAUAUGUAGGGCAGCUUGGUUGUUCUUCAUGCAUAAUCGACAAUAAGAGAUUUCGGAAGCAUAAUUUUUUGGUACCUGGGCAGCUAGUGAUCAUUGGCCCUGGCACCCCG